GGCACAAAUGUGAAGUAGAGUAGAUUAGUAAGAUCAGCUGACCCUACUCAUCUACUCUACUCAAAACUUGAGCUC
Haemonchus contortus (barber pole worm) is the source of this 75-nucleotide non-coding RNA. The record is from Rfam. NCBI's taxonomy places the organism in Eukaryota, Metazoa, Nematoda, Chromadorea, Rhabditida, Trichostrongylidae.